AAGAGAGAGACAUGCGCGCAUAUCAAUAAGCGGAGGAAAAGAAACUAACUAGGAUUCCCUCAGUAACGGCGAGUGAAGCGGGAAGAGCUCAAAUUUGAAAUCUUCAAGGUUCUACCUUGACGAAUUGUAGUUUAAAGAAGUGUUUUCUGUUGGAGUUUUGGUAAAAGUUCUUUGGAAUAGGACAUCAUAGAGGGUGAGAAUCCCGUAUUUGACCAUUAUUUCCAGCUUUGUGAUACACUUUCAAAGAGUCGGAUUGUUUGGGAAUGCAGUCCAAAAUGGGUGGUAAAUUUCAUCUAAAGCUAAAUAUUGGCGAGAGACCGAUAGCGAACAAGUACCGUGAGGGAAAGAUGAAAAGGAACUUUGAAAAGAGAGUUAAACAGUACGUGAAAUUGUCAAAAGGGAAGCGUUUGACACCAGUGUUGUUUUCUCGAAAAUCAAUUAAAAAAGGCAGGAUUUUGUGUUGUAUUGACUUUAUCAGCUUUCUGCACUCUCUUUCUUGUCUUUUUUAAUGCACUUUUCGUUUAACAAGUCAACAUCAAUUUCUUUUGUUGUAAAAGGGUCAUUGGAAGGUGGCUUUCUUUUCGGAGAAAGUGUUUAUAGCCUUUGGCCUCUGCGAAUCGGAGAGAUUGAGGUCUGCAGCGUAGAUCCUUCGGGGUUAGAUACAUUUGUGCUAAGUUAUAGCCUUUCAUAGACAACUUGUUGACUAUGAUCAGUCAUGUAGCUUACUCGCUUAUGCUAUUUUACCUACGCUUAGGAUGUUGAUGUGAUACUGCGAGCA
This 778-nucleotide ribosomal RNA is filed under the name uncultured Neocallimastigales. Its description in RNAcentral is "partial large subunit ribosomal RNA". It matches the Rfam family "Eukaryotic large subunit ribosomal RNA", at positions 23 to 646 of the family's 3401-position model. The record is from RNAcentral. Lineage: Eukaryota; Fungi; Neocallimastigomycota; Neocallimastigomycetes; Neocallimastigales.